This 496-nucleotide transfer-messenger RNA is filed under the name uncultured phage cr50_1. RNAcentral describes it as "crAssphage cr50_1 transfer-messenger RNA, SsrA". The stretch from base 434 to 496 matches the Rfam family "tRNA", at positions 1 to 63 of the family's 71-position model. Lineage: Duplodnaviria; Heunggongvirae; Uroviricota; Caudoviricetes; Crassvirales; Suoliviridae. The record is from RNAcentral.
UUUUUCAAAUUCAUAGUAUAAGAACUGUACUAUGUCUUAUUAGGUUUAUUGGAAACUAUUAGGACGAGGGUUCGAUUCCCUCCAACUCCACAUCUUUUUAAGUUUUAAUUCGGUGAUGUCACGCAUGAAUCAUGGAUAAAAGAAUACGGCAGUAAUCGCUUCCAGUACUAUAAGUUCGUAAUAGUAUAAGGAUACCUGCCACCCACGGUCAGAAGCAUAGAGGUUCGACUCCUCUUGGCAAGGGUAUAAACCACUCCUAGAUUAAAAGCCGCAAAGCUUCCAAGCAGGUGUGAGGCCUGCAUAAGGGGUUGCAUGGAUUUGACUAGUAGUGAAAGGUAAAAUAGGUUCGAUUUAAAAUUAAAUGGCAAUAACUUUGUCACAGAUUAUACUGCGAUAGGAGCGUAAUCUAACGUGCUAACUACGAAAGUGAGGGUAUCUGAUAGCUUAAUGGUCAAAGCCUUGGAUUUUACCAAGAGAUUGUGGGUUCGAGUCCCAC